GGCGCCUUUAAGGGCCUCCGUGGGCACGUUCUCGCUUCCAUUCGGUCCUCCUUUUGUUAACGCUCUGGCAUCAUGUCUACGCCAGCUCCCGCGCAAUCCGGCGCCAUCGCGCUUUGGGCGAGCAUGGCCAUGGGGAGUAGAGAGGUGGAAACCGAGCUGACGCCUGCCUGACCCUGGCGAUGGUGGCGCGCGCCGGGAAGGACUGAUUGGAGAAUGGCGCCAAAUGGGUAGGAACAGGUCGUGAUGUCCGCCGAAUGUUGUGUAGCAGGCGGGACAAAAGAGCGAUCUCAGGCCUCAUCUCGUCUCUUUUGUAGGUCACGGAUGGCGAGGGGGCACAGGAGCUCUCGAUGUGACCUGGCGCUGUGGAUGUGAUGCACAGCAGCUUGAGUGGGACUGCUCCGCUGUCCUCAUGAGAGAACGCUUUUUCUGAAGAUGGGAGGUGGCUAAUGAAAGAAGGAAUUGUGUUCUCGGUGAUGCCUGGAAGAGAUGCGUGACGUUGGAAGAUGAUUACGAAAUACAGGAAAGGUAAUUGGAGGAGUCUAGCCAGAAGGCCAGAAGCUUGGGACAUUGUCUUCAUCACUGUUAGCCACAUGCCUCUCUUGUGGGGGCAGUAACUUCGACAGGAGCUCUAGGGGUCCAGGAGACAUGAUCUAACGCCUACCAUCCCAUGUAGGUGGAAAUUACCACGCAUCAGGAAUGAAAUCAAAGGAUGUUUUUUGUAAGAGUAACACUUACAGAAAUAUUCAUUAAUUUGAAGAUUUAUAUAAGGCCUGGUGACCUCCGUUAAUUCCUGGGACCCACAGUGUGGAAGAAGAGACCUGACUCCUGAAAGUUGUCUUCUGACCACAUAUACACAAUAUGUAAAUAAAUGUAAUUAAAAAAUCAAAAUAGUAAAACUGAAA
RNAcentral lists this long non-coding RNA (902 nucleotides) under Mus musculus (house mouse). Its description in RNAcentral is "RIKEN cDNA 5430416N02 gene". Lineage: Eukaryota; Metazoa; Chordata; Mammalia; Rodentia; Muridae. The record is from RNAcentral.